UCGUAUAAGAAUCACAGUUCUUUAUGAUGUAUAUGCUAUUUUUUGCUGCUAAUCUCCAGAUUUUGUGGAUAUAAAAUAUAUUCUGUCAUCUGAUUUUAUUUUUUUCCAAUAAAAUGUGAUUUCAGUGAUCUUUAUUUUUUCUAUCUUUAACUAAUAUAUCCCUAUACUACUAUCUCAUCACUUAUUUAAUUUUUGCUAAUAAGAAUUUGUCAGUUUUACUCUUUGUUUUUUCCCCCAAGGGAGAGGCAGCUGUUCGGCAGAUUCCUUUUUUUUUAAAAAAAAAAAAAAAAGUUUUUGAGGUAUAGUUUAUGUCCAAUAAAACGCACACAUUUAAAAGCAUACCUUGAUAGGCUGUGGUAAAUGUACACGCCUUUGUGGCCAGACCAUUUUCAUCACCCCAGGAAGUUCCUCUUGGCUUUACAGUCAUUGCUCAUGUCCUAGGUAAUCACUGAUCUUGUUUCUACCACUAUAGAUUUAUGUUGCCUCUUCUAGAACUUUGUAUAAAUGGAUACAUGCAGUCUAUUUUUUGUGUCUGGCUUUUGCUCGGUAUAAUGUGUUGAGAUUAAUUCUGUUGCACAUAUCAGUAAUUUGUUUCUUUUUAUUGCUGAGUAGUAUCUUGUAUGAUAAUACUACAACUUGUUAAUCCAUUCACCUUGGGUGGACAUUGGGAUUGUAUCAAGUCUUGGGCUAUUAGGAAUACAACUGCUGUGAAUAUUCUUGUACAAGUCAUUUUGUGGACAUUUUUUCCCUUUUGGGUAAAUACCAGAUACAUUUGCCGAGUCAUAGAGUAAGUGUGUAACUGUGUAAGACACUGUCAAACCGUUUUCCAUAGUAGCUGUAGCAUUUUACAUAGCCAUCGGUACUACUUAUGAGAUUCCAGUUGCUCCACAUCCUUGCUAGAUAUUGUCAGUCUUUCAAGUUUUUUUCUUUUUAGUUACAUUGACUGUAUAAUGGUAGCUCAUGGUGGUUUUACUUUCCAUUUCCCUCAUGUACAUGUCUUAAUUCAUUGUACAUCUUUAGUGUGUUUAUUGGUUAUUUUUAUAUCUUUUGUGAAGAGUAUCUUUUGGCCACUUAAAAAAAAUGCCAGGUCAUUUGAGUUGUAACACUUUAUAUAUUUUGGAUAUAAGUCCUUUGUCAGAUGUAAGUAUAAUUAAUAUUUUUUUUAGACUUCAGGGAAACUUUAGUUUUCAAAGCAAUCUAGUUCAAAAAUGAGUGGAGGUUAACAGAGAAGAAAGAAUAUGAAACCAGAGAGACAGAAUCAGACAGACAGAAUAAGGGGGGACUGGCAGCUGGUCAGGGGCGUCUGUGACAGAUCUUCUCUCUCUUGGAAAUGAGGUCCUCACCGAUUCUGGUCAGUUCAUCAUUUUCUUCACGUCCACAGUUCUGCUCCUUCCUCAGGCUCUCCUCGAAGGCCAAGACCUCUGUGGCUCCAACUUGAGUGAAUAUUUUCUUUAGGUUUCUGGUUUACCUUUUUAUUUUCUGAAGCAUCUUUUUAAAAAAGGCUUCAGUGUGAUUGUCUAUUCUAUCGAUUUUUCUCCUUUUUUGCUUAAUGCUUAUUUUCUGUCCAAGACAUAUUUUGCCUACCGUGGCCACAAAAAUUUUUGCCAGUGUUUUUUCCUAGAAGUUUUAUAGUUUUAAUUUUCACAUUUAGGUCUAUAAUUCAUGUAGAAUUAAUUUCUCUGUGUAUGGUGUAAGAUAGAGAUUUAGAUUCUUCCCCACCCCCAAUGCAGAUAGCGUGUUGUUUGAACAUCAUUUGUUGAAAAGAGUAUUUUUAUUCCUUUGAAUUACCUUGGAUUUUGCCGCCUCCCCCCCAAAAAAUCAGUGAAUAUAUCCAAUGCGUGUGUAUUUUUUGACUCCAUUGUGUUCCAUUGACCUCUUAUGUCUGUCUUUACUCCAGUACUACAUUGUCUUCCCUUACUAUAUUAUAGUGAGUCUUGGAAAGUGCUAAGAGACACUUUGUUGAGGAAAGCCUGUUCUUUUCUCUGUAAUUUGUAAUUUGUGGUAAGCAGAUAUAUAAGAUUUUUGAAAAAUAAUUUUCUGUGAAUAUUUUUAAGUUCUUAAUCUGACUGUGAGUGAGGUGCAUUAAAGAUGUUAUUUGAAGUGAACGUGAAAAGGAAAAACUUGGUUAUUAUUGACUGGAACUCUGGAUUCGUAUAUUCAGAAUGGUUGGUGAAGCAGUGUAGCUAGUUGCAUCUGUGGAUUCCUGUUGGUUGUAGUUUGUACUGCAAAAUAUUGCUUCCUAAUGAUUUUUUUUGUUUUGGUGGUAAAAACCAUAAAAGUAUAUUCACAUUGUUGUGAAACAGAUUGCCGAAACUGUUUCAUCUUGCAAAACUGAACCUCUGUGGCCAUUAAACAACAGUUCCCUUUCCCUCAGCCCUGGUAACCACCAUUCUGCUUUCUGUUCCUGUGAACUUGACGUCAUGUAAGUGGAAUCAUAAAGUGUUACCUUUUUCCUUUUUAUGACUGGCUUAUUUCAUUGACGUAGUAUGUGACAGGAUUUCCAUUUUUAAAAGCUAAUUGAUAGUCCAUUGUGUGUCUGUUCCACCCCCCCUCCCCCAUUUUGUUUAUCAGUUCAUCUCUGGGUGGAUAUUUGUGUUGUUUCCACUUCUUGGCUCUUGUGAUUAAUGCUGCUGUGAACAUGGGUGUGCAGAUGUCUCUUGCAGUCUGUGCUUUCAAUUUUUUGGGAUAUAUACCCAGAAGUAGGAUUGCUGGAUCAUAUGAUAGUUUAAACAGUAAUUUCCUUUGGUUGCAGUUUUGAUAUUGAGAGUAGUACAGCUGACCCUUGAACAAUGCAGGGUCAAAAUGCAAGGCACCAACCCCUGUGCAGUUGAAAAUCUGGUUAUAACUUUUGACUUCAUCAAAACUGCUAAGUAUAGCCUACUGUUGACUGGUAGCCUUAACGGUAACAUAAACAGUUAACAUAUCUAUUGUAUGUUAUAUGUACUGUAUACUGUAUUCUUACAAUAAAGUAAGCUAGAGAAAAGGAAAUAUUACUAAGAAAAUCAUAAGGGAGAAAAAAUACAUUUUACUGUACUGUAUGGUGUUUAUCAAUAACAUUAGUUGUCUGUUUAUAAGAUAUGUCAUCUGUUAAUAAGAUAUGUCAUCUGUUAGAAAUUGUAGGCAACCACAGCUGCAGAUUUCAGUCCGUGGUACAUAUCAAGCAAUUCAACUUUUAUUUUUUUAUUUUUAUUUGUAUUUUUUUGCAUUUAAAAUUAAAGACAGGAUCUUGCUGUGUUGCCCAGAUUGGAUUCAAGUGAUCCUCUGGCCUCAGCCUCCUGAGUAGCUGGGAUCAUAGGCAUGCACCACUGCUUCUGGCAGUUUUUUUCUUGUGAUGUCAUGCCUUCUCUCUGCUUCUUGGGAGCACUUUCAACAUCACUAGGGGCACUUUGUAUAGGACUCAUGGUGUUAUUUAAAGUUUAUGGUAUUGCACUAAUCAUGAUGAAAAUGUGAAAACCGUGAGAGAUCACUUUUUACUGCAGUAUGCAAUUUGUUGGAGACAUGAACUGCUCAGCAGAGAUGAUUAGCAUCACAUGGUGUUUUACACAAGGUGUUUUAAGCAGAUAUUUGUAACAUUUGAGCACACUGAGAUAGCAACAGGAAGUGGCUAUGAAGUUAACACUAGUACACUACUGCAGUUAAUUUUAUGCAGUUAUGAAUUAAUACUCCAUCUUUGUUUACAUUUCUCUCUACUGCUUCCCGUGUGCAUAAGUUUUGAUACAUUUUAACUUCAUAUAAUAGAUUUGUAUGUUUUAUGAUAGUAAAUGAUAAAAUAACCUCAUAUCUAGGUAUGUUUUAUGCAUUCAUGACUUACCUAACUUUUUCUUAAUGUUUUCGUUAUUUCUAGGCUAUGCAGUUGUUUUGUGAGUUUUUUCAAAUUGUCAAGUCUGCAAAAAUUUUUCCAGUAUAUUUAUUGAAAAAAAUAUGCAUAUAAGUGGGACCUGCACAGUUCAGAGCCGUGUUGUUCAAGGGUCAGCAGUAGUCAUUUCAUGAUUAGAUGUAGAGUGAGCAUGCAGCAAGUUGUGAAUAUGAAUAUAAUUGAAACAGAUAACCACUCUUGAAAGGAGCACCUCUUUUUAUGUUUGUUUCUUUUGCAGAUUGGGAAAAUGAGGUACGUUAGUGUUCGCGAUUUUAAAGGCAAAGUGCUAAUUGAUAUUAGAGAAUAUUGGAUGGAUCCUGAAGGUGAAAUGAAACCAGGAAGAAAAGGUAUUUCUUUAAAUCCAGAACAAUGGAGCCAGCUGAAGGAACAGAUUUCUGACAUUGAUGAUGCAGUAAGAAAACUGUAAAAUUCGAGCCAUAUAAAUAAAACCUGUACUGUUCUAGUUGUUUUAA
This 4329-nucleotide small RNA is filed under the name Pongo abelii (Sumatran orangutan). Its description in RNAcentral is "retained intron". Lineage: Eukaryota; Metazoa; Chordata; Mammalia; Primates; Hominidae. The record is from RNAcentral.